Long non-coding RNA from Cygnus olor (mute swan), 1851 nucleotides. RefSeq lists it as uncharacterized. The record is from RefSeq and is a predicted model, not a curated record. NCBI's taxonomy places the organism in Eukaryota, Metazoa, Chordata, Aves, Anseriformes, Anatidae. The transcript is spliced from 4 exons.
CACCGAUGUAGCAUAUUCCAUGGGCAAACAAAAAUAAAUGCGAAAGCAAAUGUAUCCCUGGCAGCUUUGCACAUGGGCUUCCCAUAAACGUGCACCAAACCCCAGCACUGGGCCACUGCCCAGCUCUUUUCUCCUUAUCAGAGAGUGUGGCAAGCUUGCCUUUUUUUUUUUUUUUUAACUGCCAGUCUACCACCUAGUGACCUUCCCUGGCAGCAACGUGCCAUGGGAAUAAGGUGAGAGGACCUGAGGCUGCUUUAGACUUUAUGAUCUGGACCAGCACCUGUGCAGGGCGAGUGCAAUAUUAGGGUGAGAUGCUCCUGUUGCAAACGCACAGGGGAUCCUGCAAGAGCAGGCAAGGUCUGUGGUCCAGUGGAAAGUGCCACGACUGUGCGAGUCCCCUUGUGCCCGAUCUCAGCGCCGUGGGCAUGCUGCUGCCGUGUCCGUGGGUGUGCUGAGCUGUUUUUAACGGAGCAAAAUGCCACCCCGAAUACCUCCCGGUGGCCGGGGCUGUGCCCGGCUCCGGGAGCAGCAGCAGUGGGUGUGAGGCUGGGCUGGCUGACAUACACCCACACGCACACACAGCCACACACACACACACACUCCAAGCAGCCCAUUUGCUGGAGGGGUGUGCAUGUGCGUGCGAGGGAGUGGAAAGGGGUGGCGGGGAUGGAGGAAGGGAAGCCAGGGGAAAGUCUGACACUCGGCGCAGAAGGAGCGAGACCCUCCGUCGCCGCCGGCGCCGUCGGGGAGGAGCUCGACUCUCUCGCAACGCCUACCAAAACCCAGCCACCGGCCCCGGCCCCGCACCGGGCUCACCCUGCACCUCGCCGCCGCUCCGGCUCCCCGGCAGGUGCGCCUCCAUUUCUGAAGACAAAUGGGAGGCAGGAAUCUCUCCUGGGAUGAUCACUGCAGGGUUUGGGACUUAACCCACCCCCCCGCAUUCCCGCUUGACUCAGCAAUAAUGCAAAUACAGUGGUGCAGCACUGGAAGAACAGGCACAGGCCUCAGCUUGCUCAGGAAGCCUCAUCCUUUCUUGCUGUCAUUUGCACCCCAGUACUCUACCACUUUUAAACCACACCAGCAGUCCCCCAGGACAAUAUCUGCCAUUUGUAUCAGCCAUCUGAAAUUACUGCCUGAUGAUUGCUAGAGUGAGAACAACCCACAAGCUUAUAGAUGCUCUGGAAACUGUCAAGAAAAGUGCUAUGAGAAGCACUCCUGUCACCCUAUGUCUCAAUCACAGAUCUUCAGAUAAACAAAACUCAAAGUCUGCGUGCAUGAGGCUAUGAUUUUUCUGGGCUCAGGAGAAAUGUGACUAUUCUCCGUGUCCUAGAAAGAGAGUCGUGAGACCUCACCCUGCGUUGUAUAUUACACAGAAAGAAUUAGCAAUGAGCUCUUUCUACGCCUCUGGAGGAGCACAAAGCAGCUGCAGUGGGGCUAAGGGUCUAGACAGCUGAUCUCAUUAAGGAUGGAGGACGGUCAGCACAACAGAAGAAAUGUUCGAUAGCUUGUCAAUUCAUGACCGUCAGGUCUAAGAGGCUUCCAUUCCCUCAGACAAAUGCUGAUCCUAUUAAUAUGAAUGGUUGAACUUCAUUUGACAUCACCCAGUCCAGGGUUUGAGUGCAAGUACAUUAUUGCCUGUGACUUUAAUGCAAGUCACAUACCCGUGCUGAGCAGACAAACGAAACAGUUUCCAGUAGUCCUUGAUUGUUUAGCUUUUGCAGUGCUGUGUGAAGAUGGUCAGUUGGUGUAUUCCUCAGUAACUGUGUUCCAUGCUUUAGCAUCUUCAAGAUAUUUGCUGAAUUUUGUAAACUUCAUCUUUACACUUAUAAAUAAACGUGUGUUUAUUUAAAA